UUGGAGGGCAAGUCUGGUGCCAGCAGCCGCGGUAAUUCCAGCUCCAAUAGCGUAUAUUAAAGUCGUUGCAGUUAAAAAGCUCGUAGUUGAAUUUCGGGGUCAGCAGGUUGGUCGUGCCAAUGGUAUGCACUGGCCUUGCUGAUUCCUCCCUCUUGAUGAGCCGUAAUGCCAUUAAUUUGGUGUUGCGGGGAAUCAGGACUGUUACUUUGAAAAAAUUAGAGUGUUUAAAGCAGGCAAGCGCUUGAAUACAUUAGCAUGGAAUAAUGAAAUAGGACGUUUAAUCCUAUUUUGUUGGUUUCUAGGAUUGACGUAAUGAUUAAUAGGGAUAGUUGGGGGCAUUAGUAUCCAAUUGUCAGAGGUGAAAUUCUUGGAUUUAUUGAUGACUAACUACUGCGAAAGCAUUUGCCAAGGAUGUUUUCAUUAAUCAAGAACGAAAGUUAGGGGAUCGAAGACGAUCAGAUACCGUCGUAGUCUUAACCAUAAACUAUGCCGACUAGGGAAUCGGAAUGAUUUUAAUUUUU
This 521-nucleotide ribosomal RNA is filed under the name uncultured Glomus. Its description in RNAcentral is "SSU rRNA". It matches the Rfam family "Eukaryotic small subunit ribosomal RNA", at positions 548 to 1073 of the family's 1831-position model. Lineage: Eukaryota; Fungi; Glomeromycota; Glomeromycetes; Glomerales; Glomeraceae. The record is from RNAcentral.